Lineus longissimus is the source of this 119-nucleotide small nuclear RNA. RefSeq annotates it as U5 spliceosomal RNA. The transcript has a single exon. Lineage: Eukaryota; Metazoa; Nemertea; Pilidiophora; Heteronemertea; Lineidae. The record is from RefSeq and is a predicted model, not a curated record.
UCACUCUGGUUUCUCUUCGAUUCCACGCAUAAAUCUUUCGCCUUUUACUAAAGAUUUCCGUCGAGAGGAACACUCUAAUGAGUCUAUGGUCUCAUUAGGGAGUUUUUUUUUUGUUAUUC